RNAcentral lists this ribosomal RNA (2900 nucleotides) under Klebsiella oxytoca. RNAcentral describes it as "bacterial LSU rRNA". It matches the Rfam family "Bacterial large subunit ribosomal RNA". RNAcentral also lists the same sequence under 1 other name. The record is from RNAcentral. Lineage: Bacteria; Pseudomonadati; Pseudomonadota; Gammaproteobacteria; Enterobacterales; Enterobacteriaceae.
UUAAGCGACUAAGCGUACACGGUGGAUGCCCUGGCAGUCAGAGGCGAUGAAGGACGUGCUAAUCUGCGAAAAGCGUCGGUAAGGUGAUAUGAACCGUUAUAGCCGGCGAUGUCCGAAUGGGGAAACCCAGUGCAAUUCGUUGCACUAUCGUUAACUGAAUACAUAGGUUAACGAGGCGAACCGGGGGAACUGAAACAUCUAAGUACCCCGAGGAAAAGAAAUCAACCGAGAUUCCCCCAGUAGCGGCGAGCGAACGGGGAGCAGCCCAGAGUCUGAAUCAGCUUGUGUGUUAGUGGAACGGUCUGGAAAGUCCGACGGUACAGGGUGAUAGUCCCGUACACCAAAAUGCACAGGUUGUGAACUCGAAGAGUAGGGCGGGACACGUGGUAUCCUGUCUGAAUAUGGGGGGACCAUCCUCCAAGGCUAAAUACUCCUGACUGACCGAUAGUGAACCAGUACCGUGAGGGAAAGGCGAAAAGAACCCCGGCGAGGGGAGUGAAAAAGAACCUGAAACCGUGUACGUACAAGCAGUGGGAGCACCUUCGGGUGUGACUGCGUACCUUUUGUAUAAUGGGUCAGCGACUUAUAUUCUGUAGCAAGGUUAACCGUAUAGGGGAGCCGCAGGGAAACCGAGUCUUAACUGGGCGUUAAGUUGCAGGGUAUAGACCCGAAACCCGGUGAUCUAGCCAUGGGCAGGUUGAAGGUUGGGUAACACUAACUGGAGGACCGAACCGACUAAUGUUGAAAAAUUAGCGGAUGACUUGUGGCUGGGGGUGAAAGGCCAAUCAAACCGGGAGAUAGCUGGUUCUCCCCGAAAGCUAUUUAGGUAGCGCCUCGUGAAUUCAUCUUCGGGGGUAGAGCACUGUUUCGGCUAGGGGGUCAUCCCGACUUACCAACCCGAUGCAAACUACGAAUACCGAAGAAUGUUAUCACGGGAGACACACGGCGGGUGCUAACGUCCGUCGUGAAGAGGGAAACAACCCAGACCGCCAGCUAAGGUCCCAAAGUCAUGGUUAAGUGGGAAACGAUGUGGGAAGGCACAGACAGCCAGGAUGUUGGCUUAGAAGCAGCCAUCAUUUAAAGAAAGCGUAAUAGCUCACUGGUCGAGUCGGCCUGCGCGGAAGAUGUAACGGGGCUAAACCAUGCACCGAAGCUGCGGCAGCGACACUAUGUGUUGUUGGGUAGGGGAGCGUUCUGUAAGCCUGCGAAGGUGGCCUGUGAGGGUUGCUGGAGGUAUCAGAAGUGCGAAUGCUGACAUAAGUAACGAUAAAGCGGGUGAAAAGCCCGCUCGCCGGAAGACCAAGGGUUCCUGUCCAACGUUAAUCGGGGCAGGGUGAGUCGACCCCUAAGGCGAGGCCGAAAGGCGUAGUCGAUGGGAAACAGGUUAAUAUUCCUGUACUUGGUGUUACUGCGAAGGGGGGACGGAGAAGGCUAUGUUAGCCGGGCGACGGUUGUCCCGGUUUAAGCAUGUAGGCUGGUUAUCCAGGCAAAUCCGGAUAAUCAAGGCUGAGGUGUGAUGACGAGGCACUACGGUGCUGAAGUAACAAAUGCCCUGCUUCCAGGAAAAGCCUCUAAGCAUCAGGUAACAUCAAAUCGUACCCCAAACCGACACAGGUGGUCAGGUAGAGAAUACCAAGGCGCUUGAGAGAACUCGGGUGAAGGAACUAGGCAAAAUGGUGCCGUAACUUCGGGAGAAGGCACGCUGGUGUGUAGGUGAAGUCCCUGCGGAUGGAGCUGAGACCAGUCGAAGAUACCAGCUGGCUGCAACUGUUUAUUAAAAACACAGCACUGUGCAAACACGAAAGUGGACGUAUACGGUGUGACGCCUGCCCGGUGCCGGAAGGUUAAUUGAUGGGGUUAUCCGUAAGGAGAAGCUCUUGAUCGAAGCCCCGGUAAACGGCGGCCGUAACUAUAACGGUCCUAAGGUAGCGAAAUUCCUUGUCGGGUAAGUUCCGACCUGCACGAAUGGCGUAAUGAUGGCCAGGCUGUCUCCACCCGAGACUCAGUGAAAUUGAACUCGCUGUGAAGAUGCAGUGUACCCGCGGCAAGACGGAAAGACCCCGUGAACCUUUACUAUAGCUUGACACUGAACAUUGAGCCUUGAUGUGUAGGAUAGGUGGGAGGCUUUGAAGCGUGGACGCCAGUCUGCGUGGAGCCAACCUUGAAAUACCACCCUUUAAUGUUUGAUGUUCUAACGUUGGCCCCUUACCGGGGUUGCGGACAGUGUCUGGUGGGUAGUUUGACUGGGGCGGUCUCCUCCCAAAGCGUAACGGAGGAGCACGAAGGUUAGCUAAUCCUGGUCGGACAUCAGGAGGUUAGUGCAAUGGCAUAAGCUAGCUUGACUGCGAGCGUGACGGCGCGAGCAGGUGCGAAAGCAGGUCAUAGUGAUCCGGUGGUUCUGAAUGGAAGGGCCAUCGCUCAACGGAUAAAAGGUACUCCGGGGAUAACAGGCUGAUACCGCCCAAGAGUUCAUAUCGACGGCGGUGUUUGGCACCUCGAUGUCGGCUCAUCACAUCCUGGGGCUGAAGUAGGUCCCAAGGGUAUGGCUGUUCGCCAUUUAAAGUGGUACGCGAGCUGGGUUUAGAACGUCGUGAGACAGUUCGGUCCCUAUCUGCCGUGGGCGCUGGAGAAUUGAGGGGGGCUGCUCCUAGUACGAGAGGACCGGAGUGGACGCAUCACUGGUGUUCGGGUUGUCAUGCCAAUGGCACUGCCCGGUAGCUAAAUGCGGAAGAGAUAAGUGCUGAAAGCAUCUAAGCACGAAACUUGCCCCGAGAUGAGUUCUCCCUGAGACUUUAAGUCUCCUGAAGGAACGUUGAAGACGACGACGUUGAUAGGCCGGGUGUGUAAGCGCAGCGAUGCGUUGAGCUAACCGGUACUAAUGAACCGUGAGGCUUAACCUU